This 253-nucleotide ribosomal RNA is filed under the name uncultured bacterium. RNAcentral's name for it is "partial 16S ribosomal RNA". It matches the Rfam family "Bacterial small subunit ribosomal RNA", at positions 524 to 776 of the family's 1533-position model. The record is from RNAcentral.
UACAGAGGGUGCAAGCGUUAAUCGGAAUUACUGGGCGUAAAGCGCGCGUAGGCGGUUGUGUAAGUUGGAUGUGAAAUCCCCGGGCUUAACCUGGGAAUGGCAUUCAAAACUGCACGGCUAGAGUGUGGGAGAGGAAGGUAGAAUUCCAGGUGUAGCGGUGAAAUGCGUAGAGAUCUGGAGGAAUGCCGAUGGCGAAGGCAGCCUUCUGGCCUAACACUGACGCUGAGGUGCGAAAGCAUGGGGAGCAAACAGG